This 117-nucleotide ribosomal RNA is filed under the name Anaeroselena agilis. Lineage: Bacteria; Bacillati; Bacillota; Negativicutes; Acetonemataceae. The record is from RNAcentral.
UCUGGUGCCGAUAGCUGUGGGGUCCCACCCGUUCCCAUACCGAACACGGCAGUUAAGCCCACAUACGCCGAAAGUACUUGGCUGGAAACGGCCUGGGAGGAUAGGUAGGCGCCGGUU